CCUACGGGGGGCAGCAGUGGGGAAUAUUGGACAAUGGGGGCAACCCUGAUCCAGCCAUGCCGCGUGUGUGAAGAAGGCCCUCGGGUUGUAAAGCACUUUCAGUGAGGAAGAACGCCUGGUGGUUAAUACCCAUCAGGAAAGACAUCACUCACAGAAGAAGCACCGGCUAACUCCGUGCCAGCAGCCGCGGUAAUACGGAGGGAGCGAGCGUUAAUCGGAAUUACUGGGCGUAAAGCGCGCGUAGGUGGCUUGAUAAGCCGGUUGUGAAAGCCCCGGGCUCAACCUGGGAACGGCAUCCGGAACUGUCAAGCUAGAGUGCAGGAGAGGAAGGUAGAAUUCCCGGUGUAGCGGUGAAAUGCGUAGAGAUCGGGAGGAAUACCAGUGGCGAAGGCGGCCUUCUGGACUGACACUGACACUGAGGUGCGAAAGCGUGGGUAGCAAACAGGAUUAGAUACCCUAGUAGUC
RNAcentral lists this ribosomal RNA (465 nucleotides) under Vreelandella stevensii. RNAcentral's name for it is "partial 16S ribosomal RNA". It matches the Rfam family "Bacterial small subunit ribosomal RNA", at positions 338 to 795 of the family's 1533-position model. The record is from RNAcentral. Lineage: Bacteria; Pseudomonadati; Pseudomonadota; Gammaproteobacteria; Oceanospirillales; Halomonadaceae.